CCUACGGGAGGCAGCAGUGAGGAAUAUUGGUCAAUGGGCGGGAGCCUGAACCAGCCAAGUCGCGUGAGGGAAGACGGUCCUAUGGAUUGUAAACCUCUUUAGGCGGGGAGCAAUGCCGGGCACGCGUGCCCGGAGGGAUAGUACCCGCAGAAUAAGCAUCGGCUAACUCCGUGCCAGCAGCCGCGGUAAUACGGAGGAUGCGAGCGUUAUCCGGAUUUAUUGGGUUUAAAGGGUGCGUAGGCGGAUUUUUAAGUCAGCGGUAAAAUGUCCGGGCUCAAGCCGGGCCGGCCGUUGAAACUGGGGAUCUUGAGUGGGCGAGAAGUAUGCGGAAUUCGUGGUGUAGCGGUGAAAUGCAUAGAUAUCACGCAGAACUCCGAUUGCGAAGGCAGCAUACCGGCGCCCGACUGACGCUGAGGCACGAAAGCGUGGGGAGCGAACAGGAUUAGAUACCCCGGUAGUC
RNAcentral lists this ribosomal RNA (460 nucleotides) under uncultured bacterium. Its description in RNAcentral is "partial 16S ribosomal RNA". It matches the Rfam family "Bacterial small subunit ribosomal RNA", at positions 338 to 795 of the family's 1533-position model. The record is from RNAcentral.